Molecule: long non-coding RNA, 1968 nt
Organism: Amphiprion ocellaris (clown anemonefish)
Lineage: Eukaryota; Metazoa; Chordata; Actinopteri; Pomacentridae
Source: Ensembl
UCUUUUAGGUGUCUACCAACUCUCAUGGCUAUAGUAGCCAUGAGAGUUGGUAGACACCUAAAAGAAAGACAUCAUGAAUUCAAGUAGAUGAAAUUAGUUUUCUUGGCAAGUGCAUAGACUCAUCCUUAGUGACUGGAUGACACUGGGCACCUUUAUAGGAUCUGAAGGCCAUAUUCAUAAGAGGAAAAUGGGAAGCAGGGCUGAUGGGUGUAUUGUUUUGGUCUGGAAAGGCGAAGCAGGAGCUGAAGUGGAAGGCGAUGAUUCAGCUUUACAGAUCAGUGACGUUAGAACCAUCACCGAUGGUCGUAAAAAAUUAGAUCAUGGAUGAAAGUUGACAGUCGACACCCAGUCAAGGUUAGGAGCUCAGACCUCCCAUUGAAGGCAAUGGGUUCGGGUGGUUUGGGGAUUUGAUGAGGAUCUAUCCUGGACAGCUUUUUCUAGGGGUUUUCCAAGCAUUUCUACUUAGAAUACAGAGCUGUCAAUGCCUCCAGUACACCCAGUGGAAUUACUGGAGAGAAAUUGCUACAUGUACAGGAUAAUGUUUCCACUUCUGAAAAAUGUAGUUAAAGAGAAUUGAGACUUCCUGUAUUAAUUAAUUAGUCACUAAAUCCCAAUUGGACAUUGUUACAGCACAGCUAACCAGCUAAAGCCAGCUAGUUCAGAUGCUGACUGAAGUAUGUACUUAGAUUACUAUAUUUUUACACAAAAGUAUUAUGAAGAUUCAGUUCUGUUCUGUGAGCAGUCUCUCCCAUCCUAGCAUUAUCAGCCAGCUCACUGCCUAAUGCCACCACAGACAUUGAGUGUUGAUUUUCUUAUUUUUUUUCUCCAAAAGGCCAUGCAACCAUUUUUGUAGUCAUUUAUGAAUACACAAAACAGUUAUGAAUUAAACAAAACCAUUUCACAGUCUUUAUUGUAUGUGCACCUUGUUUUGGGGGUAACAAAGACCCAUAGAAUUGUGUUGCUAAAUAUAUACACACACAUCAAUAUACAGAGCUUUUGAUACCUUACUAAGUAUUAAAGCAAUCUUAACAUAAGAAUUGAUAAAAUUAGAUAAAUCUACAAAUCUGGAGGAGGGGAUGUUAGCUGUGUAUGAGUUGUUGAAUGCGAGUGUAAAGCUGUAUAUAGGAGCACUUUAGAAGUCUCACCACAGAUGGGCUAAGCACCAAAACUCAACACACAUUCAGUGCUUUACUUUACCCCAAAGUGUCUGCUGAUGCUCUUUGAUUUGAUGAUUUUAACCUGCUUUGAUUUUGCUACUGUGUUGAUUGAAGACUGGAGGAUCUCUUAUUGCUCUGUUUUCACACACACGCACGCACACACACACACACACACACAGACAGACAGACAUAUACACACAUAUAUAUAUAUAUAUAUAUAUAUAUAUAUAUAUAUAUAUAUGUAUAUAUAUAUAUAUAUAUGUAUAUAUAUGUAUAUAUAUGUAUAUAUAUGUAUAUAUAUGUAUAUAUAUGUAUAUAUGUAUAUAUAUGUAUAUAUAUAUAUAUAUAUAUAUAUAUAUAUAUAUAUAUAUAUAUAUAUAUAUAUAUAUAUAUAUAUAUAUAUAUACUGUGCUCUGCUCUGCUGUUUCCCUUUUUUUCCCAGGAGUCUGCCUUUCAGUUUGUGUGUCUUUUGUUUGUCUCUUUUUUGUUUACAUCAUAUAGAAGAUACACAGUAAAGAGCCUGAGAACAUGACACGGAUCUUGAUUUUGAUGCUGUUGUAGGUGGUGAUGAAUCGGCGAAUAGCACAUGUAUGAAGCAAUAAGUAGGACUGUGGAGCUCCAUGACACAAAAGAAGUUUAAAUUAUGUAUAAACUGUAAAAAAAAAUAAAUAAAUAAGAUAGCAUAAUUUAUGUACACACUGAAAAGAAGAAGAGUGAAUAUUAUAACUAUAAAAGGUUAUUAUUAAUAUUAUUAGAGUCAAUAUGCAAAAAGUUCAUACCCCAUCUGUUUUAUAUCGUGAAAUAAAUGUUG